UGGUCAAUGCUAGGGGAAAUUCUCGCUUUCUGAGUGGCCAUGGGGUGCUGCGUCCGAACAUUGGUUGAAAAAUGCAUACUGAAAUGUGCGCUAUCGGAAUUGACUGGUGUACGAAUUACUGUACAAAGUAAGUUCCACCCGGUUGGCCGGGAACUAAUUUUGUUUUAUUCAUUUAACAUUUUUGCGAGCACAGUUUCGGUUCUUUUACUCCCUGUUGGCGAGCCUUUGUGUGAGGACGGGUGAAGAAUGGAAGUACGGGAGAGGAGGGGAUGUAGGAGAAGUGUAUGUGGGGAGGGGGCGUUGCUGCGCAGGCAAUUACAGGAGCCAGUUCACAUCUGCCUGAGAACCGACUACAUCAUGACGCCUAAAUAAUCAAGAUCAAGGUCAUUCCUGCAAUGCCACAUCAGGGGCUCUUCGCUACACAGGCUGCUGCUUUGAAUCAAAUAUAAAGACUGCUACUGUGUUUGUAAAUGAAAUGCAGCAACAUUGCAUUCUGCAUGUGUGCAUUUGUCUGUCUUAUAAAUUAUUCAAACAGA
Molecule: long non-coding RNA, 536 nt
Organism: Anguilla rostrata (American eel)
Lineage: Eukaryota; Metazoa; Chordata; Actinopteri; Anguilliformes; Anguillidae
Exons: 2
Source: RefSeq, a predicted model, not a curated record